RNAcentral lists this ribosomal RNA (358 nucleotides) under Bacillus subtilis. Its description in RNAcentral is "bacterial SSU rRNA". It matches the Rfam family "Bacterial small subunit ribosomal RNA", at positions 769 to 1125 of the family's 1533-position model. Lineage: Bacteria; Bacillati; Bacillota; Bacilli; Caryophanales; Bacillaceae. The record is from RNAcentral.
UUUACAGGAUUAGAUACCCUGGUAGUCCACGCCGUAAACGAUGAGUGCUAAGUGUUAGGGGGUUUCCGCCCCUUAGUGCUGCAGCUAACGCAUUAAGCACUCCGCCUGGGGAGUACGGUCGCAAGACUGAAACUCAAAGGAAUUGACGGGGGCCCGCACAAGCGGUGGAGCAUGUGGUUUAAUUCGAAGCAACGCGAAGAACCUUACCAGGUCUUGACAUCCUCUGACAAUCCUAGAGAUAGGACGUCCCCUUCGGGGGCAGAGUGACAGGUGGUGCAUGGUUGUCGUCAGCUCGUGUCGUGAGAUGUUGGGUUAAGUCCCGCAAAGAGCGCAACCCUUGAUCUUAGUUGCCAGCAUC